AAGGGUAUAGCUCAAUUAGGCAGAGCAUUGGUCUCCAAAACCGAAGGUUGUAGGUUCGAUCCCUACUGCCCUUG
This 74-nucleotide transfer RNA is filed under the name Aureispira anguillae. It matches the Rfam family "tRNA". From Rfam's summary of the family: Transfer RNA (tRNA) molecules are approximately 80 nucleotides in length. Lineage: Bacteria; Pseudomonadati; Bacteroidota; Saprospiria; Saprospirales; Saprospiraceae. The record is from Rfam by way of RNAcentral.